This is a non-coding RNA of Corchorus olitorius, 69 nucleotides long. The record is from the annotation of a GenBank genome assembly. Lineage: Eukaryota; Viridiplantae; Streptophyta; Magnoliopsida; Malvales; Malvaceae.
GAGAGUUCAGUUCGGUAGAACGUGGGUCUCCAAAACCCGAUGUCGUAGGUUCAAAUCCUACCAACUACU